AGAGUUUGAUCCUGGCUCAGAAUGAACGCUAGCGGCGUGCUUAACACAUGCAAGUCGUACGAGAACUCUUUAGCUUGCUAAAGAUAGUAAAGUGGCGCACGGGUGAGUAACGCGUGGGUAAUUUACCUCUGAAUUUGGGAUAACUCCGCUAAAGCGGGGCUAAUACCGGAUAAUAUUUCAGGAUCUUCGGGUUUUGAAAUCAAAAGUGGCCUCUACAUGUAAGCUACUGUUUGGAGAUGAGCCCGCGUACCAUUAGCUUGUUGGUAGGGUAAUGGCCUACCAAGGCUACGAUGGUUAGCUGGUCUGAGAGGAUGAUCAGCCACACUGGAACUGACACACGGUCCAGACUCCUACGGGAGGCAGCAGUGGGGAAUUUUGCGCAAUGGGGGAAACCCUGACGCAGCAACGCCGCGUGAGUGAUGAAGGCUUUCGGGUCGUAAAGCUCUGUCAAGUGGGAAGAGCAUGAGAAAUGUUAAUAUCAUUUUUCACUGACGGUACCACUGAAGGAAGCACCGGCUAACUCCGUGCCAGCAGCCGCGGUAAUACGGGGGGUGCAAGCGUUAUUCGGAAUUAUUGGGCGUAAAGGGCGCGUAGGCGGUCUUUUAAGUCAGAUGUGAAAGCCCGGGGCUUAACCCCGGAAGUGCAUUUGAAACUGAAAGACUUGAGUAUGGGAGAGGGAAGUGGAAUUCCUGGUGUAGAGGUGAAAUUCGUAGAUAUCAGGAGGAACACCGGUGGCGAAGGCGACUUCCUGGACCAAUACUGACGCUGAGGCGCGAAGGCGUGGGGAGCAAACAGGAUUAGAUACCCUGGUAGUCCACGCAGUAAACGAUGAACACUAGGUGUAGCGGGUAUUGACCCCUGCUGUGCCGCAGUUAACGCAUUAAGUGUUCCGCCUGGGGAGUACGACCGCAAGGUUAAAACUCAAAUGAAUUGACGG
Molecule: ribosomal RNA, 937 nt
Filed under: uncultured bacterium
Lineage: Bacteria
Description: bacterial SSU rRNA
Rfam family: Bacterial small subunit ribosomal RNA
Source: RNAcentral